CCUACGGGAGGCAGCAGUAGGGAAUAUUGCGCAAUGGGCGAAAGCCUGACGCAGCAAUUCCGCGUGGAGGAUGAAGGUUCUUGGACUGUAAACUCCUUUCGGUGGUGACGAUAAUGACGGUAGCCACAGAAGAAGCACCGGCUAACUACGUGCCAGCAGCCGCGGUAAU
Molecule: ribosomal RNA, 169 nt
Filed under: uncultured Kineosporiaceae bacterium
Lineage: Bacteria; Bacillati; Actinomycetota; Actinomycetes; Kineosporiales; Kineosporiaceae
Description: partial 16S ribosomal RNA
Rfam family: Bacterial small subunit ribosomal RNA
Source: RNAcentral